UACGUAGGUGGCAAGCGUUGUCCGGAUUUACUGGGCGUAAAGGGCGUGCAGGCGGUCUGUUAAGUGCAGGGUGAAAGCUCCCGGCUCAACUGGGAGAGGUCCUUGCAUACUGGCGGACUUGAGGGGGGUAGAGGAAAGUGGAAUUCCCGGUGUAGUGGUGAUAUGCGUAGAUAUCGGGAGGAACACCUGUGGCGAAGGCGGCUUUCUGGGCCCUACC
This 217-nucleotide ribosomal RNA is filed under the name uncultured bacterium. RNAcentral's name for it is "partial 16S ribosomal RNA". It matches the Rfam family "Bacterial small subunit ribosomal RNA", at positions 524 to 740 of the family's 1533-position model. The record is from RNAcentral.